Long non-coding RNA from Esox lucius (northern pike), 398 nucleotides. RefSeq lists it as uncharacterized. NCBI's taxonomy places the organism in Eukaryota, Metazoa, Chordata, Actinopteri, Esociformes, Esocidae. The transcript is spliced from 3 exons. The record is from RefSeq and is a predicted model, not a curated record.
CUGCUGAUGGGACUUAAUGAAAAAUGUAAAGGAGUCAUCACCAAAGAGGGCAAUACUGCCGCAAUUGACAAGAUGUGCACCUUUCAUCCAAAUCCAAUUACUACUAUUCUUCCUGACAGUUUGUGGACAGAUGCCCCCAGUAGAUGCCUGUAUGUUUAGGCUAUGAUACUCAUCAGGGAAGCUCAGUGAAGAACUUCUGUCUCUGAAGACCCUUGGGGCUGGUGGUGUAAACGCUUUGUGGAGAAUCUGAGCACAUUCAUCCACAGGGUUGUUGAGGAAUGAACAUGCCAUAUUUGGUUGCAACUGGCUGGUCUUUAGAUGCACUGCUUAUAUAGUCUGAAUCUCAAAUCGCGUGCUUGUAUACUAUAUAGUAUGUGAGAAGAUUAGUAUGUCUCAAA